AUGCAGGGGCUCAGAAAGUCACCCUCUCCGGGUGAGCGGUCUGGAGCCGAGAAGUCACCCUCCCCGGGCGAGCGGUCCGGGGUCAAGAAGUCACCCUCCCCGGGCCAGCGGUCCAGAGUCAUGGAUUCACCCUCCCCGGGCCGGCGGUCCGGACUCAAGAAGUCCCCCUCCCUGGGCCUGCGGUCCGGGGUCAAAAAGUCACCCUCCCUGGGCGAGCGGUCCAGAGUCAUGGAGUCACCCCCCCCGGCCAGCAUUCCGGAGUCAAGAAGUCACCCUCCCCGGGCCAGCAGUCCGGGGUCAAGAAGUCACCCUCUCCGGGCGAACGGUCCAGAGUCAUGGAGUCACCCUCCCCAGGCCAGCGGUCUGUGGUCCAGAAGUCACCCUCCCCGGGCCAGCAUUCCGGACUCAAGAAGUCACCCUCCCCAGGCGAGCGAUGAGGGGUCAAGAAGUCACCGUCCCCGGGCGAGUGGUCCGGGGUCAAGAAGUCACCCUCCCCAGACGAGUGGUCCGGGGUCAGGACCUGACCUUCUCAAAGGGGCUCAACUGGCUCAGGUGAAGGAGGUUCAGCAGGUGCAGCAGCCAGUCUGCCCGCUCUCUGGCCAGAGGAGCUCAGAGGACUCACCUGAGAGAGUCCUCAGGGUCGUGUACCCGGCACCGGAGGAGUCGUGGAUCGAGCCCCAGACCUCGCCCCAGAUCCCUCACCCCUGCCGGGCCUCAUUCCUCGUCCCCAACGGCCGCGGAGCCCGGGGGCCUCUCGGCUCGGCGGAGCGCUCGGGGCAGACCACCGCCACCCGCCCAGAUUGCCGGCAGAGAGGGGGCAAGGUGGACCCGGCGCCAUCUUCCCGGAGGGGAAUCACCCCGAAGGCCGCAACCCGGACACCCGCAAGAGCUCCGGGCCCAAGAGGGGAGAGCGGGUGGGCCCCUCGCCUGAUGCAGGGGCCGGUUCUCCCGGCCAAGAGAGCUCCAGCCUUUCCGCGGGGCCCCCGCCCGCCGGAGUAUGGGGCCACGGGGUGCGGGGCGUCACCGGCGGACCCCACGAAGGCCGCACCCCGAGCCUCCCCGACGGGAGAGAGAAGACCGCGGAGGAACGGAUGGCCCAGUGGCACCCGCCGCACGGGAAGGGGGUCGUCCCGUCCCUGGUGA
Molecule: long non-coding RNA, 1143 nt
Filed under: Ornithorhynchus anatinus (platypus)
Lineage: Eukaryota; Metazoa; Chordata; Mammalia; Monotremata; Ornithorhynchidae
Description: lncRNA (ENSOANG00000040567.1)
Source: RNAcentral